GAUGAACGCUGGCGGCGUGCCUAAUACAUGCAAGUCGAGCGAACAGACGAGGAGCUUGCUCCUCUGACGUUAGCGGCGGACGGGUGAGUAACACGUGGAUAACCUACCUAUAAGACUGGGCUAACUUCGGGAAACCGGAGCUAAUACCGGAAAAUAUAUCGAACUGCAUGGUGCAAGAGUGAAAGACGGUUUUGCUGUCACUUAUAGAUGGAUCCGCGUCGCAGUGGCGAGUUGGUAAGGUAACGGCUUACCAAGGAAACGAUGCGUAGCCGACCUUUGAGGGUGUUCGCCCACACUGGACCUGAGACACGGUCCAGACUCCGACGGGAGGCAGCAGUAGGGAAUCGUCGGCAAUGGGCGGAAGCCUGACGGAGCAACGCCGCGCGAGUGAUGAAGGUCUUCGGAUCGUAAAACUCUGUUAGUAGGGAAGAACAAAUGUGUAAGUAACUAUGCACGUCUUGACGGUACCUAAUCAGAAAGCCACGGCUAACUACGUG
This 497-nucleotide ribosomal RNA is filed under the name uncultured bacterium. Its description in RNAcentral is "partial 16S ribosomal RNA". It matches the Rfam family "Bacterial small subunit ribosomal RNA", at positions 28 to 507 of the family's 1533-position model. The record is from RNAcentral.